GCGGUGAAGUGUUUGAACUGAACUAAAAUGCCGAAGUGGUAGAGGUGUAGUGGGAAGUGUGGAGAAAAAAUUUAGGGAUUUGGAUAGUGGGAGUGGUUGGACAGUUUUAGGAGAAAUUUGAGGGAUUUGGGGAUAAUGGGGCUAAUUUUUUUAAUUUUAUUUUCUUUCUAUUUUUGUUAUUUUUCUAUUUUUAAAUUCCCAAAGUUCCUCCAUCAUUUUGCCGUUUCUUCUCCCUCAGCUCUGCUAAACCUCUGCCAAAGUUUCUUUUUCUGCUCCAUUCUUGUAGAUUUUGGC
This 294-nucleotide long non-coding RNA is filed under the name Gossypium raimondii (Peruvian cotton). RNAcentral's name for it is "long non-coding RNA (GRAI_LNC005616)". The record is from RNAcentral. Lineage: Eukaryota; Viridiplantae; Streptophyta; Magnoliopsida; Malvales; Malvaceae.